GACGAACGCUGGCGGCGUGCUUAACACAUGCAAGUCGAACGGAAAGGCCCUGCUUUUGUGUUGUGCUCGAGUGGCGAACGGGUGAGUAACACGUGAGUAACCUGCCCUUGACUUUGGGAUAACUUCAGGAAACUGGGGCUAAUACCGGAUAGGAGCUCCUGCUGCAUGGUGGGGGUUGGAAAGUUUCGGCGGUUGGGGAUGGACUCGCGGCUUAUCAGCUUGUUGGUGGGGUAGUGGCUUACCAAGGCUUUGACGGGUAGCCGGCCUGAGAGGGUGACCGGCCACAUUGGGACUGAGAUACGGCCCAGACUCCUACGGGAGGCAGCAGUGGGGAAUAUUGCACAAUGGGCGGAAGCCUGAUGCAGCAACGCCGCGUGCGGGAUGACGGCCUUCGGGUUGUAAACCGCUUUCGCCUGUGACGAAGCGUGAGUGACGGUAAUGGGUAAAGAAGCACCGGCUAACUACGUG
Molecule: ribosomal RNA, 468 nt
Filed under: uncultured bacterium
Lineage: Bacteria
Description: partial 16S ribosomal RNA
Rfam family: Bacterial small subunit ribosomal RNA
Source: RNAcentral